Molecule: non-coding RNA, 139 nt
Organism: Prolemur simus (greater bamboo lemur)
Lineage: Eukaryota; Metazoa; Chordata; Mammalia; Primates; Lemuridae
Gene: SCARNA3
Product: small Cajal body-specific RNA 3
Source: Ensembl
AAUGGAAGCUGCAGGAAGCAACCAUGUGGGCAAAUGAAAAAUGUCUUUGUCUGCAGAUUGCAGCAAUCCUACAUAAACAUGGAGGUCUCUGUCUGGCUUAGAACAACUGGCUAAGUCCGAUCGUUCCCCUCCAUACAUC